Non-coding RNA from Caulochytrium protostelioides, 114 nucleotides. Lineage: Eukaryota; Fungi; Chytridiomycota; Caulochytriomycetes; Caulochytriales; Caulochytriaceae. The record is from the annotation of a GenBank genome assembly.
GCAUCCGUGGUUUAGUGGUAAAAUUAACGCUUGCCAUAAGUUUCCUGACAGCGCCCCGCUUCAAGAUCCUGCAGCAACAUGUGUUAGCCCCGGGUUCGAUUCCCGGCGGAUGCA